AAAAGCUUAUUGCUUUUUGUUUUCUCCAGGUUGCCAAUAACUCAAUAAAAUUGACUACUUAUUUGUGGUAUUUUUGUAGGAUGGUCUUCCUGGAAUCGGAGUUGGUGCCGAAAUGAUGAAAUGAGGACUAGGAAGUGGAAUUCAUAAUUGAGCAAUUGUGGAAUUUCAGAAUGGAACUGAGGACCAAGUGAAGAAGAUUGUUGACAGACUGACGGUGCUGAAAUUGCAUCUAUAAAUGUUGUUGAGGUUAUGGUAAGUCCUCCAUUUGUGUUCCUUACCUCGGCUAAAAUGUCAUUGUAUCAUGAGAUUCAAGUGGCUGCUUGCUGGGUGAAGAAAGGAGGUGCUUUCACUGGUGAAGUUAGUGGAUUGACUACCAAAAAAACUACACAGAGCUUGCUCAAUAGUAUCAGAAGUACAAGGAUCAAGUUUUUGAAGAAGAUGAUGGUGGUAGUUAUGCUAAUUUCAGAGAGGAUGUGUUGGUUAUAUUUCAGGUUACACUAGUCAUUUCAUGUAUAUUUCAGCUUUUUCACAUGUCAUUUCAUGUAUAACUUCUAUUUACACUAGCCAGAUGCAUCUUCAAUUUGUCUUCUCUUUUAUUUUUGUUGUUCUCUUAAAUAUUGAAUAAUAUUUGUUUGCAUUAUUGUUUUGGCAUUGGUUCAUAUGUCUUUUCAUUGUAACUGUUAUCGACAUUAAGCACUCUUAUGGACUAUUUUUUGUUGUUA
This is a long non-coding RNA of Papaver somniferum (opium poppy), 722 nucleotides long. RefSeq lists it as uncharacterized. The transcript is spliced from 4 exons. The record is from RefSeq and is a predicted model, not a curated record. Lineage: Eukaryota; Viridiplantae; Streptophyta; Magnoliopsida; Ranunculales; Papaveraceae.